CCUACGGGGUGCUGCAGUGAGGAAUAUUGGUCCAUGGGCGAGAGCCUGACCCAGCCAAGUCGCGUGAAGGAUGACGGCCCUACGGGUUGUAAACUUCUUUUGUCAGGGAGCAAUUGAGUCCACGUGUGGUAUUAGCGAGAGUACCUGAAGAAAAAGCAUCGGCUAACUCCGUGCCAGCAGCCGCGGUAAUACGGAGGAUGCGAGCGUUAUCCGGAUUUAUUGGGUUUAAAGGGUGCGUAGGCGGAAUAUCAAGUCAGCGGUAAAAAUUCGGGGCUCAACCCCGUCGUGCCGUUGAAACUGAUGUUCUUGAGUGGGCGAGAAGUAUGCGGAAUGCGUGGUGUAGCGGUGAAAUGCAUAGAUAUCACGCAGAACUCCGAUUGCGAAGGCAGCAUACCGGCGCCCAACUGACGCUGAAGCACGAAAGCGUGGGUAUCGAACAGGAUUAGAUACCCUGGUAGUC
RNAcentral lists this ribosomal RNA (460 nucleotides) under uncultured bacterium. RNAcentral's name for it is "partial 16S ribosomal RNA". It matches the Rfam family "Bacterial small subunit ribosomal RNA", at positions 338 to 795 of the family's 1533-position model. The record is from RNAcentral.